This 2939-nucleotide ribosomal RNA is filed under the name human gut metagenome. Its description in RNAcentral is "bacterial LSU rRNA". It matches the Rfam family "Bacterial large subunit ribosomal RNA". The record is from RNAcentral.
GGAAGAUGGUAAGGGCAGGCGGCGGAUGCCUUGGCACAGGAAGCCGACGAAGGACGCGGCAAGCUGCGAUAAUCCGCGGUGAGGGGCACACGCCCUUCGACCCGCGGGUCUCCGAAUGGGAAAACCCGGCGCGCCGUCGAGGCGCGUCGCCUCCGGGCCGAACACAUAGGCCCGGAGGGGGCAACCCGGGGAACUGAAACAUCUAAGUACCCGGAGGAAGAGAAAUCAAACGAGAUUCCCCCAGUAGUGGCGAGCGAACGGGGAAGAGGCCAAACCGGCCCGAGCGAAAGCCGGGCCGGGGUCGUGGGGCCGUCUACAGUGCGGUUACAAAGCGACGCGCGAGCGGAACCGGAUGGGAAGCCGGGCCGGAGGGGGUUAGAGCCCCGUACGCGAAGCGCGACGCCCGCCUGACGGUGCCCGAGUACCGCCGGACACGUGAAACCCGGUGGGAAGCAGGGGGGUCCACCCUCCAAGCCUAAAUACUCUCCUGUGACCGAUAGCGCACUAGUACCGCGAGGGAAAGGUGAAAAGCACCCCGGGAGGGGAGUGAAACAGCACCUGAAACCGCCUGCCCACAAGCAGUCGGAGCACCUGUUCGCAGGUGUGACGGCGUGCCUUUUGUAGAAUGAGCCAGCGAGUUGCGGCGCGUGGCGAGGCCAAGCCACGAAGCGAGCCGUAGCGACAGCGAGUCCGAACAGGGCGUCGAGUCGCGCGCCGCAGACGCGAAGCCGGGUGAGCUAUCCAUGGGCAGGCUGAAGCGGGGGUAAGACCCCGUGGAGGGCCGAACCCACCUAGGUUGAAAACUGGGGGGAUGACCCGUGGAUAGGAGUGAAAGGCCUAUCAAACCCGGAGAUAUCUCGUUCUCCCCGAAAUAGCUUUAGGGCUAGCCUCGGGCGUUUACCAUGGGGGGUAGAGCACUGGACUGCAGCGGGGGCCUCACCGCCUACCAACGCAGACCAAACUCCGAAUACCCAUGGUCCACAGCCCGGGAGUCAGAACAUGUGGGCUAAGCUGUGUGUUCGAAAGGGAAACAGCCCAGACCGCCCGCUAAGGCCCCCAAGUCGAUGUUGAGUGGCAAAGGAUGUGCGUCCGCCCAGACAACCAGGAUGUUGGCUUAGAAGCAGCCACCCAUUCAAAGAGUGCGUAAUAGCUCACUGGUCGAGUGGACAUGCGCCGACAAUACACGGGGCUAAGCAUCGCGCCGAAGCGGCGGACCGGAACAUGGGUUCCGGUGGUAGGGGAGCUUCCCGUGCGCGGCGAAGCCGAGGGACGACCCUCGGUGGAGCGCCCGGGAGUGAGAAUGCUGGCAUGAGUAACGAGAGCGGGGUGGAAAACCCCGCCGCCGUAAACCCAAGGUUUCCUGGGCGAGGCUAAUCCUCCCAGGGUCAGUCGGGGGCUAAGGCGAGGCCGGAAGGCGUAGCCGAUGCACAGCGGGCCGACAUUCCCGCACCCCCGGAAGGGCGCUACAACCGAUGGGGCGACGCAGGAGGGUAGCUGGACGGGGUUCUGGACGUCCCCGCGAUGGCGCGUAGGGCGGCUCCCAGUGAAACGCGGGAGCCACGGGCCUGAGGCGCCGGACGAAGCCACGAGGCGAAGCCAGUGAGCCCAUGCUGCCGAGAAAAACCCCUAGGGAGCCCGACGGGGCCCGUACCGCAAACCGACACAGGUGGGUGGGUAGAGAAUACCAAGGCGAUCGGGAGAACUAUGGUCAAGGAACUCGGCAAAAUCGCCCCGUAACCUCGGGAGAAGGGGCGCCGGCCUGGGUGGGGGGACACGCUCCCCGAGCCCGGUCCGGCCGCAGCGAAAAGGUCCAAGCGACUGUUUACCAAAAACACAGGACUCUGCUGAAGUCGUAAGACGACGUAUAGGGUCUGACGCCUGCCCGGUGCCGGAAGGUCACGGGGAGCCGUCAUCCUUCGGGAGAAGCGGCGAACCCAAGCCCCGGUAAACGGCGGCCGUAACUAUAACGGUCCUAAGGUAGCGAAAUUCCUUGUCGGGUAAGUUCCGACCUGCACGAAAGGCGCAACGACUUGGGCGCUGUCUCGACCAUGGACCCGGUGAAAUUGCACUAGUCGUGAAGAUGCGACUUACCCGCGGAAGGACGGAAAGACCCCGUGAACCUUUACUGCAGCUUGGCAUUGGCUGCCGGGGCGCCGUGUAGAGGAUAGGUGGGAGACUUCGAACCCGGGACGCCAGUCCCGGGGGAGUCGCCCUUGGAAUACCACCCUCGGCGCCUUGGCAUCCUAACCUGCGGCCGUUAUCCGGCGCAGGGACCGUGCCAGGUGGGUAGUUUGACUGGGGCGGUCGCCUCCUAAAAGGUAACGGAGGCGCACGUAAGGUCUGCUCGGGACGGUCGGCAACCGUCCUUCAGAGUGCAAGAGCGCAAGCAGGCUUGACUGCGAGACGGACAGGUCGAGCAGGUGGGAAACCAGGUUCUAGUGAUCCGGCGGCUCAGAGUGGUAUGGCCGUCGCUCAACGGAUAAAAGGUACUCCGGGGAUAACAGGCUGAUCUUCCCCAAGAGUCCACAUCGACGGGAAGGUUUGGCACCUCGAUGUCGGCUCAUCGCAUCCUGGGGCUGGAGCAGGUCCCAAGGGUACGGCUGUUCGCCGUUUAAAGCGGUACGCGAGCUGGGUUCAGAACGUCGUGAGACAGUUCGGUCCCUAUCCUCCGUGGGCGCAGGAGAACUGAUGGAGGCUGCCCCUAGUACGAGAGGACCGGGGUGGACGGACCUCCGGUGCACGGGUUGUUCGCCAAGAGCACCGCCCGGUAGCUGAGUCCGGUCUGGAUAACCGCUGAAAGCAUCUAAGCGGGAAGCCAGUCCCGAGAUGAGUCUUCCCUUCGGUAAGGCCCCAGGUAGACCACCUGGUUGAUAGGCAGCAGGUGCAAGCGCCGCGAGGCGCUCAGCCGAGCUGUACUAAUAGGCCGAGCUCUUCUUCCC